UAGGGAAUCUUCGGCAAUGGGGGCAACCCUGACCGAGCAACGCCGCGUGAGUGAAGAAGGUUUUCGGAUCGUAAAGCUCUGUUGUAAGAGAAGAACGUGUGUGAGAGUGGAAAGUUCACACAGUGACGGUAACUUACCAGAAAGGGACGGCUAACUACGUGCCAGCAGCCGCGGUAAUCCGUAGGUCCCGAGCGUUGUCCGGAUUUAUUGGGCGUAAAGCGAGCGCAGGCGGUUUAAUAAGUCUGAAGUUAAAGGCAGUGGCUUAACCAUUGUUCGCUUUGGAAACUGUUAAACUUGAGUGCAGAAGGGGAGAGUGGAAUUCCAUGUGUAGCGGUGAAAUGCGUAGAUAUAUGGAGGAACACCGGUGGCGAAAGCGGCUCUCUGGUCUGUAACUGACGCUGAGGCUCGAAAGCGUGGGGAGCAAACAGG
Molecule: ribosomal RNA, 429 nt
Filed under: bacterium
Lineage: Bacteria
Description: partial 16S ribosomal RNA
Rfam family: Bacterial small subunit ribosomal RNA
Source: RNAcentral